Molecule: ribosomal RNA, 470 nt
Filed under: uncultured bacterium
Lineage: Bacteria
Description: bacterial SSU rRNA
Rfam family: Bacterial small subunit ribosomal RNA
Source: RNAcentral
CUGUGACUCCUACGGGAGGCAGCAGUGGGGAAUAUUGCACAAUGGGCGCAAGCCUGAUGCAGCCAUGCCGCGUGUGUGAAGAAGGCCUUCGGGUUGUAAAGCACUUUCAGUUGUGAGGAAGGUGGUGUCGUUAAUAGCGGCAUCAUUUGACGUUAGCAACAGAAGAAGCACCGGCUAACUCCGUGCCAGCAGCCGCGGUAAUACGGAGGGUGCGAGCGUUAAUCGGAAUUACUGGGCGUAAAGCGCAUGCAGGUGGUUUGUUAAGUCAGAUGUGAAAGCCCGGGGCUCAACCUCGGAACUGCAUUUGAAACUGGCAGACUAGAGUACUGUAGAGGGGGUAGAAUUUCAGGUGUAGCGGUGAAAUGCGUAGAGAUCUGAAGGAAUACCGGUGGCGAAGGCGGCCCCCUGGACAGAUACUGACACUCAGAUGCGAAAGCGUGGGGAGCAAACAGGAUUAGAUACCCUGGGAG